This 468-nucleotide ribosomal RNA is filed under the name uncultured bacterium. Its description in RNAcentral is "partial 16S ribosomal RNA". It matches the Rfam family "Bacterial small subunit ribosomal RNA", at positions 28 to 507 of the family's 1533-position model. The record is from RNAcentral.
GACGAACGCUGGCGGCGUGCCUAACACAUGCAAGUCGAACGGAAAGGCCCUGCUUUUGUGGGGUGCCCGAGUGGCGAACGGGUGAGUAACACGUGAGUAACCUGCCCUUGACUUUGGGAUAACUUCAGGAAACUGGGGCUAAUACCGGAUAGGAGCUCCUGCUGCAUGGUGGGGGUUGGAAAGUUUCGGCGGUUGGGGAUGGACUCGCGGCUUAUCAGCUUGUUGGUGGGGGAGUGGCUUACCAAGGCUUUGACGGGUAGCCGGCCUGAGAGGGUGACCGGCCACAUUGGGACUAAGAUACGGCCCAGACUCCUACGGUAGGCAGAGGUGGGGAAUAUUGCACAAUGGGCGGAAGCCUGAUGCAGCGGCGCCGCGUGCGGGAUGACGGCCUUCGGGUUGUGAACCGCUUUCGCCUGUGACGAAGCGUGAGUGACGGUAAUGGGUAAAGAAGCACCGGCUAACUACGUG